This 107-nucleotide small nuclear RNA is filed under the name Sus scrofa (pig). The record is from RNAcentral. Lineage: Eukaryota; Metazoa; Chordata; Mammalia; Artiodactyla; Suidae.
GUGCUCAUUUUGGCAGCACAUAUGGUAAAAUUGGAACGAUACGGAGAAGAUUAGCAUGGCCCCCGUGCAGGGAUGACACGGAAAUUCGUGAAGCAUUCUGUAUUAAA